This is a non-coding RNA of Camellia sinensis, 398 nucleotides long. Lineage: Eukaryota; Viridiplantae; Streptophyta; Magnoliopsida; Ericales; Theaceae. The record is from RefSeq and is a predicted model, not a curated record.
GAAUUUUUUUCAUUAUCUACUGCACAAGAAGCAACUAUUGUUGAGGACUAAUUUGUCUCCAAGUUAGUUUGGUUUUAAAGUUCUUGAGAUUAAUGAAGUUUUUGAAGUUUGGUUGAAGCAAUUGUGAAGGAUUGAAGUUAUUGUGGAGUUUGAUGAGUAGAUUAAUUUAUUUGAAUUCUUGGAUUGUUUGUGGGUUGAAUUAUGUUGAACUAUGUUGGUUGAACUAUGUUGGAUGUUGUAGAACUUUUUUUGUUGAACUAUGUUGGAUGUUGUAUGAAUUAUGUUGAUGAAUUAUGUUGGAUGUUGUAUGAAUUAUGUUGUAGAACUAUGUUGGAUGAAUUAUGUUGAACUAUGUUGGUUGAACUAAUUUAUUGAUGGAAUAGAUAGAUUUUUAACUU